RNAcentral lists this ribosomal RNA (729 nucleotides) under uncultured Glomeromycotina. Its description in RNAcentral is "SSU rRNA". It matches the Rfam family "Eukaryotic small subunit ribosomal RNA", at positions 373 to 1104 of the family's 1831-position model. Lineage: Eukaryota; Fungi; Glomeromycota. The record is from RNAcentral.
GGGCACGACACCGGAGAGGGAGCCUGAGAAACGGCUACCACANCCAAGGAUGGCAGCAGGCGCGCAAAUUACCCAAUCCCGACACGGGGAGGUAGUGACAAUAAAUAACAAUACGGGGUUCUUUCGGAUCUCGUAAUUGGAAUGAGUACAAUUUAAAUCUCUUAACGAGGAACAAUUGGAGGGCAAGUCUGGUGCCAGCAGCCGCGGUAAUUCCAGCUCCAAUAGCGUAUAUUAAAGUUGUUGCAGUUAAAAAGCUCGUAGUUGAAUUUCGGGAUCAGAUUGUCGGUCGUGCCUCGGUACGCACUGGCAUUAUUGGUUCCUACCUUCUGAAGAACCGCGGUGUCAUUAAUUUGGUGUCGUGGGGAAUCAGGACUGUUACUUUGAAAAAAUUAGAGUGUUUAAAGCAGGCGCACGCUUGAAUACAUUAGCAUGGAAUAAUGAAAUAGGACGUUUGAUUCUAUUUUGUUGGUUUCUAGGAUCGACGUAAUGAUUAAUAGGGAUAGUUGGGGGCAUUAGUAUUCAAUUGUCAGAGGUGAAAUUCUUGGAUUUAUUGAAGACUAACUACUGCGAAAGCAUUUGCCAAGGAUGUUUUCAUUAAUCAAGAACGAAAGUUAGGGGAUCGAAGACGAUCAGAUACCGUCGUAGUCUUAACCAUAAACUAUGCCGACUAGGGAUCGGAUGAUGUUGAUUUUAUAAUGACUCAUUCGGCGCCUUACGGGAAACCAAAGU